UUGGAUGUAGCUCAGUUGGUUGAGUGCUUGCCUAAUGUGCAUGACACCCUGAGUUUAAUACCCAGCUCUAUA
RNAcentral lists this transfer RNA (72 nucleotides) under Mus musculus (house mouse). RNAcentral's name for it is "tRNA-Ile". The record is from RNAcentral. Lineage: Eukaryota; Metazoa; Chordata; Mammalia; Rodentia; Muridae.